AGUGAACGCUGGCGGUAGGCCUAACACAUGCAAGUCGAACGGCAGCACAGUAAGAGCUUGCUCUUACGGGUGGCGAGUGGCGGACGGGUGAGGAAUACAUCGGAAUCUACUUUUUCGGGGGGGAUAACGUAGGGAAACUUACGCUAAUACCGCAUACGACCUACGGGUGAAAGCAGGGGAUCGUCGGACCUUGCGCGAUUGAAUGAGCCGAUGUCGGAUUAGCUAGUUGGCGGGGUAAAGGCCCACCAAGGCGACGAUCCGUAGCUGGUCUGAGAGGAUGAUCAGCCACACUGGAACUGAGACACUGUCCAGACUCCUACGGGAGGCAGCAGUGGGGAAUAUUGGACAAUGGGCGCAAGCCUGAUCCAGCCAUACCGCGUGGGUGAAGAAGGCCUUCGGGUUGUAAAGCCCUUUUGUUGGGAAAGAAAAGCAGCAGGUUAAUACCCCGCUGUUCUGACGGUACCCAAAGAAUAAGCACCGGCUAACUUCGUG
This 492-nucleotide ribosomal RNA is filed under the name uncultured bacterium. Its description in RNAcentral is "partial 16S ribosomal RNA". It matches the Rfam family "Bacterial small subunit ribosomal RNA", at positions 29 to 507 of the family's 1533-position model. The record is from RNAcentral.